ACCCUACGGGGCGCAGCAGUGAGGGAUAUUGGUCAAUGGGGGAAACCCUGAACCAGCAACGCCGCGUGAGGGAAGACGGUUUUCGGAUUGUAAACCUCUGUCCUCUGUGAAGAUAAUGACGGUAGCAGAGGAGGAAGCUCCGGCUAACUACGUGCCAGCAGCCGCGGUAAUACGUAGGGGGCAAGCGUUAUCCGGAUUUACUGGGUGUAAAGGGAGCGUAGGCGGCUGUGUAAGCCAGAAGUGAAAGCCCGAGGCUCAACCACGGGACUGCUUUUGGAACUACAUGGCUUGAUUGCAGGAGAGGC
RNAcentral lists this ribosomal RNA (305 nucleotides) under uncultured bacterium. Its description in RNAcentral is "bacterial SSU rRNA". It matches the Rfam family "Bacterial small subunit ribosomal RNA", at positions 335 to 658 of the family's 1533-position model. The record is from RNAcentral.